RNAcentral lists this ribosomal RNA (253 nucleotides) under uncultured bacterium. RNAcentral describes it as "partial 16S ribosomal RNA". It matches the Rfam family "Bacterial small subunit ribosomal RNA", at positions 524 to 776 of the family's 1533-position model. The record is from RNAcentral.
UACGAAGGGUGCUAGCGUUGUUCGGAAUUACUGGGCGUAAAGCGAACGUAGGCGGUGUUCCGUGUCAGAGGUGAAAGCCUGGGGCUCAACUCCAGAAUUGCCUUUGAAACGGGAACGCUUGAGUCCGAGAGAGGAUGGCGGAAUUCCUAGUGUAGAGGUGAAAUUCGUAGAUAUUAGGAAGAACACCGGUGGCGAAGGCGGCCAUCUGGCUCGGUACUGACGCUCAGGUUCGAAAGCGUGGGGAGCAAACAGG